UAGGGAAUAUUGCACAAUGGAGGAAACUCUGAUGCAGCGACGCCGCGUGAGUGAUGAAGGACUUCGGUUCGUAAAGCUCUGUUGUAGGGGAAAAAUAAAGUGAUUGUACCCUGCGAGAAAGGAUCGGCUAACUUCGUGCCAGCAGCCGCGGUAAGACGAGGGAUCCUAGCGUUGUUCGGAAUCAUUGGGCGUAAAGCGGAUGUAGGUGGCUUAAUAAGUCAGGUGUGAAAGCCCGGGGCUCAACCUCGGAAGUGCAUUUGAUACUGUUAAGCUUGAGUGCUAGAGAGGUUACUGGAAUUCCUGGUGUAGUGGUGAAAUACGUAGAUAUCAGGAGGAACACCGGAGGCGAAGGCGGGUAACUGGCUAGACACUGACACUCAGAUCCGAAAGCGUAGGUAUC
RNAcentral lists this ribosomal RNA (400 nucleotides) under uncultured bacterium. Its description in RNAcentral is "bacterial SSU rRNA". It matches the Rfam family "Bacterial small subunit ribosomal RNA", at positions 355 to 769 of the family's 1533-position model. The record is from RNAcentral.